AUGGACUGUUGCUGCCGCGCGUGCCGCCCGGAUCUGGCGCUCGCUUUCUUCGGCCGUCUCUUCAGGACGGGCCUGGAGGCAAACCAAGUCAUCUUCUGCACCCUCCUCAAGGGACUCUGCCACGCAAAGCGCACAGAUGAGGCUCUGGACGUGCUGCUUCACAGGAUGCCUGAGCUGGGCUGCACUCCCGAUGUGGUGGCAUAUAACACCGUCAUCCAUGGCUUCUUUAGGGAAGGCCAAGUAGGCAAGGCGUGCGAUCUGUUCCAUGGAAUGGCACAGCAGGGCGUUAUGCCCGAUGUGGUGACAUAUAGCUCGGUUAUUGAUGCGCUGUGCAAGGCCAGAGCAAUGGACAAAGCAGAGUAUUUCCUUCGUCAGAUGAUUGGUAAUGGUGUCGUACCUAAUAAUGUGGCAUAUAAUAGCCUCAUCCAUGGAUAUUCCUCUUCAGGCCAUUGGAAGGAGGCAGUUAGGGUAUUCAAAGAGAUGACAAGUCGGAGGGUUACAGCAGAUGUGCAUACUUACAACAUGUUUAUGACCUUUCUUUGCAAACAUGGAAGAAGCAAAGAAGCUGCAGGAAUUUUUGAUACCAUGGCUAUGAAGGGCCUGAAACCUGACAACGUUUCAUAUGCUAUUCUCCUUCAUGGGUAUGCCACCGAAGGAUGCUUAGUUGAUAUGAUUAAUCUCUUCAAUUCAAUGGAAAGAGACUGUAUUCUACUUGACUGUUGUAUCUUCAGCAUACUGAUUAAUGCAUAUGCUAAAUCUGGGAAGCUUGAUAAGGCAAUGCUUUUAUUUAAAGAAAUGCAGAAACAAGGAGUGAAUCUGCAUUCACAUAUUCAACCG
This 837-nucleotide ribosomal RNA is filed under the name Triticum aestivum (bread wheat). Its description in RNAcentral is "partial small subunit ribosomal RNA". The record is from RNAcentral. Lineage: Eukaryota; Viridiplantae; Streptophyta; Magnoliopsida; Poales; Poaceae.